UUUUUGUUGUUAAAUUUAAAAAAAAAAAAAACAUUAUCUAUUCUAAGUGGGAGGGGAAUUGGCACUGUUCAUGGCUACAGUCAAUUGUUUGCCCCUCGAUUUCACGUUAUUUACAACAAAAACCAUCAGAUCUGGGCUGGGUUGGGAAGGUAAUUCUUAAAAGUUAGGGGGUAAUUGUGUCCGUGGGUUUGAGCCGAAUUUCACUUUAUUUACAAAAUUGCCACCGCCUUUUCUUUCCCUCUUUCUCUCUCCCGACUCUGUCGAUAACCAUCCAUCAAAUCGCCCAUCCUUUCCUUUUCUCACUCUGUGAGCUCAUUUCCUACAACCCUAGCACUGUUUCUCUCUCAUUUCUCUCAAAUUCGAGAGACUUCUCUCUCCCAUUUCUCUCAACCUAGCCCCAGCGCUGCUCACCCCAUUCCUCUUCAUCAUCUCAGUUAAAUCCGUUCAACAAUCACCGAUGCACCUCCACACGAACCCAUAUUGAAUUUUCCUCCUGCCCACGAAUCAACCUCCAUUUCGUGGAUCCACCUUCGUUGCAAGUCGCCGACACCCACAAAUGAACUCAGAUACGACCAUCAAAAGUAGGGCAGAGCUCUCGAAGAUGUCAGAUUUGAGAAGGAAAAAGGAGCGGAGCGGAAUUUAAAAUGCUCGAGCUCUGCUUCCAGGCCUCCCCGAAACGCUUGCAGAUCAGUCGUCCGAACCGAUUUCUGAAUUUGGAUGUAUUGCGUUUGAAAAUGCCGAAAAUUAAUUGUUUUGUUGGAGUCCGAUUGCUUUCGGAGGAUCGGCGGUGGUUUUUAAAUUUGUAUUUGUAUUUGGUGCUUAAUUUAAAAAAUUGGAGUGAGUUUGGUGUGGAUCCGAGCUAAAUUAAAAAGAUAGGUGCUUGGAUGGGAAUGGAAAGAUAGGUGCUUGGAUGGGAAUGGACGUAGGAGCAGGAAGUGUUACGAGGAAGGGAGGUAGUAGCGUCAUCUGUUGUGUUGGAGUAGUGAAGUGAUUAGACGUCGGUAUGGCAUCUGCUAGCCUAGGGAAUCGUGGAGUUGGCAGUUCAAGGUAUGUUAGACAAUAGAUAUGGCAUAAGUGAUAAGCCAUUUUCCCUCUCUGCAAGUGUUAACCUCACCCUGUAUGGGAUUAUGAAAAGGAGGGUCUUUCUUUUGCUUUGCGUUGCAAGGGAUAGAAGGAGACUUAAUUUACUAUAUUAGCCUUAUGAGUUUACGGACCUUCUAAUAUUUCAUAGUGGGCCUGGAAGUGAUUUUCCGGGAACGGGAAAGGUAAUUGAGAUUAGUCUCUGAUUGUUUGAUCAUCCUCUAUAUAUUUGAUGAAGCUUCAACUAGCUUCUACCAGACAACCCUUCAUUUCUUUAUGUGAUGGAUUUUCGAAUGAAAUGCACUCAACCCUAAAUUCCAGUGGGGGUGGCUGAAGCAGUUGCCGGAUAUGACUUAUGGCAGUCAUGGUUCCUUUAUUGUCAUGCUUUUAGUUUUAUAAAAUAUGACAAGUUGACAUAAAUAUAUAUGUAUAUAGAGAACUUACAUCUCUUGAUAGAUUGUGUUGCUAGAUAGUUUUUCACUUUGCUGCUCAAAAUAAGUUUAUCAUGUUAUGCUGUCCAACUAUUGAUUUGGAACAACGUUAUGUAAAUACUUUAUUCUGUUCAACUAUUGAUUUGGAACAACGUUCUGUAAAUACUUUUCACACACCAUACUUAUAGCACAUUAGUCCUGUAUUUGAAGACUUAUAUACAAUACUUAUAAUUCGGAUGAA
Long non-coding RNA from Pyrus x bretschneideri (Chinese white pear), 1752 nucleotides. RefSeq lists it as uncharacterized. The transcript is spliced from 4 exons. Lineage: Eukaryota; Viridiplantae; Streptophyta; Magnoliopsida; Rosales; Rosaceae. The record is from RefSeq and is a predicted model, not a curated record.